UGCCAGCCGCCGCGGUAAUACGGAGGGUGCAAGCGUUGUUCGGAAUUAUUGGGCGUAAAGCGCGUGUAGGCGGUUCGUUAAGUCUGAUGUGAAAGCCCGGGGCUCAACCCCGGAAGUGCAUUGGAAGCUGGCGAACUUGAGAUGGUUAGAGGCGGGUGGAAUUCCUGGUGUAGAGGUGAAAUGCGUAGAUAUCGGGAAGAAGGCCGGUGGCGAAGGCGGCGCUCUGGAACGUACCUGACGCUGAGGUGCGAAAGCGUGGGGAGCAAACAGGAUUAGAUA
RNAcentral lists this ribosomal RNA (279 nucleotides) under uncultured bacterium. RNAcentral's name for it is "partial 16S ribosomal RNA". It matches the Rfam family "Bacterial small subunit ribosomal RNA", at positions 506 to 784 of the family's 1533-position model. The record is from RNAcentral.